UUUGCCAGGGAACUACGAGCCACAGCUUAAAACCCAAAGGACUUGGCGGUGCUUUAGACCCCCCUAGAGGAGCCUGUUCUAGAACCGAUGACCCCCGUUAAACCUCACCCUCUCUUGUAUUUUUCCGCCUAUAUACCGCCGUCGUCAGCUCACCCUGUGAAGGACUUAAAGUGAGCAUAAUUGGUAGUACCUAAAACGCCAGGUCGAGGUGUAGCCUACGAGAGGGGAAGAAAUGGGCUACAUUUACUGCCUCAGUAAACACGGAUGCUGUCUUGAAACAGACAUCUAAAGGAGGAUUUAGCAGUAAGGGGUGAAAUAGAGUGUCCCCCUGAAACUGGCCCUGAAGCGCGCACACACCGCCCGUCACUCUCCCCGAAUAAACCAUUAACUUAAAUAAACAACUAAAAAAACAAAGGGGAGGCAAGUCGUAACAUGGUAAGUGUACCGGAAGGUGCACUUGGAUAAA
Molecule: ribosomal RNA, 466 nt
Filed under: Apocryptodon sp. NMBE 1066525
Lineage: Eukaryota; Metazoa; Chordata; Actinopteri; Gobiiformes; Gobiidae
Description: partial 12S ribosomal RNA
Rfam family: Bacterial small subunit ribosomal RNA
Source: RNAcentral